GUGCAGCAGGCGAGAAUUUUUCUCAAUGGGGGAAACCCUGAAGGAGCGACGCCGCGUGGAGGAUGAAGGCUUUCGGGUUGUAAACUCCUGUCAUUUGAGAACAAGUGGCCGAACGUAACUACUUCGGCCUUGAUAGUAUCAGAAGAGGAAGGGACGGCUAACUCUGUGCCAGCAGCCGCGGUAAUACAGAGGUCUCAAGCGUUGUUCGGAUUCAUUGGGCGUAAAGGGUGCGUAGGUGGCGCCGUAAGUCGGGUGUGAAAUUUCGGAGCUUAACUCCGAAACUGCAUUCGAUACUGCGGUGCUUGAGGACUGGAGAGGAGACUGGAAUUUACGGUGUAGCAGUGAAAUGCGUAGAGAUCGUAAGGAAGACCAGUGGCGAAGGCGGGUCUCUGGACAGUUCCUGACACUGAGGCACGAAGGCCAGGGGAGCAAACGGGAUUAGAUACCCCCGUAGU
Molecule: ribosomal RNA, 455 nt
Filed under: uncultured organism
Description: bacterial SSU rRNA
Rfam family: Bacterial small subunit ribosomal RNA
Source: RNAcentral